Molecule: long non-coding RNA, 1807 nt
Organism: Rosa chinensis
Lineage: Eukaryota; Viridiplantae; Streptophyta; Magnoliopsida; Rosales; Rosaceae
Exons: 8
Source: RefSeq, a predicted model, not a curated record
UAGGGCUGUUUCAGUUUUCACGUUCUCACUUACCUCGACGCCUCCAAACUACAAACCCAAGCCGAGCAAAAAAAACAAACAAACCGUAGAUCUGCAACAUCGCCGGUGAAAUUGGAUUCGAGUGUUGGUGUUGAAGAAGGAAUAGCUAUUUGGGCUUGACGAAUGAGCAUGGAAAUGGAGAAGAUUAAUAGAAAAAGGCGAGAUUGUCUAGGGUCGGCCAUCGGAAGACCGCAGAUCUGCCACAGCCCCCUUCAAUUUCUAUCCGAUUGUUUGUGUAGCAGGCGGCGCUGAAGAAGGAAAAGAUACCGGGCUUGAGCCUUUGAGAACAAGUCCAAAUCGAGGUCACUGAAUACCAGAGGAGGGGAGGUUCUCCAAGUGAAUUUUGUUGUAAGUCCCCGGCAAGGCUUCAAUAUGAGUCCCCGGCAAGCCUAUCAGCGGUUUUGGCGUGGCUAAAGUUUUGGAAUCUGGGGAUGCAAAGUUUAAGCAAGGCGACUUGGUUUGGGGAAUGACUGGCUGGGAAGAGUAUAGUCUCAUCACUUCCAUUCAGUAUUUGUUUUAAGAUUCCCACCACCGAAUCUUAAGAGUAUAGUCUCAUCACUUGGUUUGGGGAAUGAAUGACUGGCACCCAUGUGGAUGUGCCUUCCUCUUAUUAUACUGGAAUUCUUGGUGUUAAAGUUAGUUCCUUUAGAUUGAGCGAGUGAUCGAAGUUGUAGUAGAAAGAAGAACAUGAGAGAUUGGUCUGGGUUUGCCCCCAAAACGCGUAUGGAUCUCUCUGCCAUUUCCCAAGUUUGAGACUUUGUAUUCGCCUUGACUGCCGGUUUUGGUAUUUUUUUCCCCCUGGGGUUUCUGGGUUUGCUGUGUUUGCAUGAUUUUUGGGAUCAUUUGAACUAUGGGUUUGAUUGUAUGAGCUUAAUGUCUCUGUUCAAGGUGUGCAAAGCCACAUAUAUAGAAUUUCAGAUUAAAUCUCCACCAACACAGCAGAGUGCAUAGUUUGUGUGAAACGAUUAAAAAUGGCCGAUGAAGCCAACAGAGCUUACAGAUAUAUCAAAUAUGGUGAAAUCGUGACUUAUUAAUGGAGAAUUCAAAUAGAUUUAAGGUGCAGAACUAUAAGUAGUAUUAAUCAUUUCAAGAUGCUAAUGCUGGUGGUAUUAAUCAAAUAAGCUGAAGAACUAGCCGCCGCUCUAGCAGCAAGAAAGGGUCAUCCUGUAGAAAAUGAUACCGAUGCGGUAUGAAUAUCAAUUUCUUGAGAUGCUGAUCAGCUUUUGGAAUCUAAAAGGAAGGAUUCAUUGAUAUCGGUACUAUCUGUCAUGCGAUCCAGAUCAAGUAUGCUUCGUUCUGUCAGUCUGUGGCAUUCAAUAUGAUUCAGGCUUUAAUCUCCAGAUUUGUAACACAUAACGGUCGGUGGUACCAAGCAUGUCCACACUGUUUUCGACAACUGAAACAAAAGAAGAAUAACGAUCUGCUAAUCUGUCUGGAACACAAUAUGCAAGUGCCUCUUCCAUGGUAACAACUUCAUCCUAACUACAUCAUAAUAUGGGGCUUUUGACCAUUGGAGCAGUGCUCAAUUUUCUUGGAUGUGGAUUGCUUUGGCUUAUAGUCUCACAAAAGAUUGCUGCUUUGCCUUUGUGGGUGGUGAGUAGUUCAAUCAAGUUUGAAUCUUGAUCAUCAAGUCUGAUUUUGGUUUGUUUCUGUGUAUCGCUUCCCUUUUUUGUGGGUACCAAUAGUUAGCCUUUUUUGUUUCAUUCUGAUAUGUUUUGUCUGAUAACCUUGAUUACUGAGUUUAAUUCAUUACUGCAUUUUAUAUUUA